GACGAACGCUGGCGGCGUGCUUAACACAUGCAAGUCGAACGCUGAAGCUUGGUGCUUGCACUGGGUGGAUGAGUGGCGAACGGGUGAGUAAUACGUGAGUAACCUGCCCUUGACUCUGGGAUAAGCCUGGGAAACUGGGUCUAAUACUGGAUAUGACAUGCCACUGCAUGGUGGUGUGUGGAAAGGGUUUUACUGGUUUUGGAUGGGCUCACGGCCUAUCAGCUUGUUGGUGGGGUAAUGGCCUACCAAGGCGACGACGGGUAGCCGGCCUGAGAGGUUGACCGGCCACACUGGGACUGAGACACGGCCCAGACUCCUACGGGAGGCAGCAGUGGGGAAUAUUGCACAAUGGGCGGAAGCCUGAUGCAGCGACGCCGCGUGAGGGAUGACGGCCUUCGGGUUGUAAACCUCUUUCAGCACGGAAGAAGCGAGAGUGACGGUACGUGCAGAAGAAGCGCCGGCUAACUACGUG
RNAcentral lists this ribosomal RNA (472 nucleotides) under uncultured bacterium. Its description in RNAcentral is "partial 16S ribosomal RNA". It matches the Rfam family "Bacterial small subunit ribosomal RNA", at positions 28 to 507 of the family's 1533-position model. The record is from RNAcentral.